GGGCAAAUGGUCUAGGGGUAUGAUUUUCCCUUCGCAUAACACAUACGAUUGGGAAAGGUCCGGGGUUCAAUUCCCCGUUUGUCCA
Molecule: non-coding RNA, 85 nt
Organism: Xylariaceae sp. FL0255
Lineage: Eukaryota; Fungi; Ascomycota; Sordariomycetes; Xylariales; Xylariaceae
Source: the annotation of a GenBank genome assembly